Non-coding RNA from Camelina sativa (false flax), 3053 nucleotides. Lineage: Eukaryota; Viridiplantae; Streptophyta; Magnoliopsida; Brassicales; Brassicaceae. The record is from RefSeq and is a predicted model, not a curated record.
CGUUCUUCUUCCGAGAAAAGAGAGAGAGAGAAAGAGAGAGAAAGAGAGAGAAAUAGAGAAAGAGAGUUCUGCGGCGACGAGACCAGGGAGAAUCCACUCUGAGUUUUAAGGACGACGAGACCAGAGAGAAGAGAGAGAUAGAGCGAGCCGUGUUUUGUUUUCGAGUCUCGUCCGUGGAUGGUUUCAAUUUCAAGAAGACAGUGAUGGUCUUCGUCUAACCCUAAUCAAUCAAUUACGUCUUCCUUGUCACAGAGUUUGAAGAUGAUGAUGACCCAACAGGUUUGAAGAUGCAUAUUCUAAUUCUUAUGAGAGAAAUCGUCUUAAAGUGUUUUCAAGUCUCGUACGUGGAUGGUUUCAAGAAGACGCAAUCGGGCAAUCUGAUUCUUCUAGUCUUUGACAGUCCCCCUCCCCGGAACAAUCAAUUACGUCUUCCUUGUCACAAAAUAAUUAUUACAUAUAUUUGGUUUAUUUUCUUCGCGGGUUUGGAGAUGAUGAUGAUGCAUAUGCCUUAUGACCCAACAUGCAACAGUACUUGGUGGACUGAGAGAGGUGACUGGAUGUACUCCGGGAAACCUCAUUGACUGAGAGAGGUUUUGGAUGCUUCUCUCUUAUAGAUGAGACUAUGAGAGUAAUGGCUUUGAUGGACACGCUUCUUCUUCUCUGCUAACGUCUUCUAGGAAGCAAACCAUGAUCAAAUCAUCACGUAUUACUAAUCCAUGCUAUAUUGUCUUCAAGCGUUCUCACAGGUGGCUUUCUCCAUUGUGAUUUAUCUGAGCCCGUCGUCGCCCAAGCACUGUCUCAAAUCAGACACGCCUUCAAUGAUUGAUUUAUUUGACUCUACUUUGCUCUCUCAUAUUAAUUUUCACUUUGUUUUUUUUGUUGAUUUUAGGUUUCUGGAGGAUAUUAUAUUACGAUUGAUCGGUGAUUUGCUCUUUUUGAUUGUGUCGUUGUCAAGCGUGCGUCUUCUCUUUUGUUUGAUCGUGGUGGUGGUCCUUGCACUGUGGGAUUGCUCUUGUUGAAUCUUAUCUCCUCGUCUUGUCUGAGCUCCUCUGAUGUGGUUUAAUCAUUCAGACCAUCGAGACACCGAGAUUAAUGUAUUGGAGGGUUUGAAGAGAAGAAAAAACAUUGUAAAAGUGAAUGGUUUGCAUUGUGGAGGAUACUUUUCUCAGUGGGUGAUGGUUCUGAUGGAUCCUUGUCUUCUCUGAGCUACAUAUUCAGAGCAUCGAAAUUAAUGUGUGUGAGGGUUUGAAGAGAAGAAAGAAAAUUGUGAAAGUGAAUGGUUUGCGUUUGAAGCUACAACCAUACAAGGAGAUUGUGUCUGCUGCCUUGUUUGGAUGCUCAGGAUGCAAGCAAGGCUAUUGGUGGUGGGAUGAGAGGUAUGACUGGAUUGCUAUGAGAAACCUCAUUGCUUGAUCCAUAUGAGGGUAUACACUUUGAGAGGGGGCUUGUCUCGUGUUUGAUGAUAAUAGAUUGGUUAUCUGAUCUACGUAACCAGGGACAACAAUCUUGCUCAGCAAUUCAGAUAGGCUUCAAAUGCAGAGCUCUACCGACCUGGUAUGCUUGAAAAUAAUGUUUUUUGUUGGAGCAAUAUUGCACUUUGGCCAGAAAACCAAUCAUCAGAAACGUGUGAAAAGGGAAACGAGUAUUGUUCUGACCACCUGCUUCAAGAUCCUUCAUUUGAAUUAACUCACGACUCCUGCCAAUGGCUUUGAUCAUUUCGAAUCACUUUCAUUUUUUAAUUUGAAUCAGAAUCUUUGAUCAUUUCGUUUCUGCUGAUUUGGUGCAUCUCUUUGCAGAUGCUUGACUACAAUGUACACGGCGGUGAGAGGAGCCUCUCUCAGACAUUUCAUCCAAACUUAAUCAACUCACAUCAAACACUUGUGUGUUCUGUUUUUUCAUUUUUCUGCAGGGAUGCUCAAUCGUGGUCUCUCCAUGGUUGAUAGCUACAAGCUGUUGAAGCAUGCCAAGACUUGACCGAUAAAGAAACUUUUCAUUUUAUGUGCUCUCAGGUGGUGCAUUGAAUGGGUAAUUCCCUUCUUCGUUUGUUCAGGUGUUUCCUCCUCUUUCAUUUUGGUGUUGGAGUCCAGGAAUAAGAGAACCGUAGCAUCUCCAUCUUCAGCUUCAGUUUCCUCUACAGCGUAAGGCAUAGAAGAAGUCCAUGACAAAAGACAAAGAACACUAAAGAUGCUGCUGCAAGCCUGGGAAAUUUCCACGAUGAUAAGUUAGUAGAGAUUAUAAACACAACAAUAAUGGAUAGAAGCCCAUCUAUGAAAUGGGAUGACGUUGCUGGACUUGAUGGAGCUACACAAGCUAUUUUACCAGCGAAAUGAAGAGAUAGACCGUUUGUAAUUUGUAUUGCAUGCUAAUCACGGCAGGCCAUAACUUGAACCAUUGAUAUGGCCAUGGUGUUGUAAAACGGAUCCAAGAUAUGUAUGCCAUAGAGAGUUUGCCCUGAAGCAUCUACCUUAUGAUUCUCUUUUUCAGCUGUUCGAUACCGUCCUGACUAGGGUAACCCCUGGUGAUAUUCUUUCUGAUCUCGCGGCUGGAAGUUGUCUCAACUGCCAAAAGUGUGCUUCAGCAAGCUGGAACUUUGGAAGGAGUGGAGUUUAGCUUUCAGGAGAUUCCCUUUCCGGACGAGACCAUCUCAGCUGCAAAAGAAUUCUUGGAGCCAUUGGAGGCUAUGUCUUCUCUCUUGUCUCAACUUAUGUUGUUGGCUCUAAAUGGUUUUUGGGAAAUACAGUUUCUCAUAGAUUCUUGUUUGGUAUAGUUUAAGGUACUAAUGGGAUAACAGUGUAAUGCAUCUGAGGCCUGAGAAGGGGUUACUUUAGCUUCAUGAAGGUCUCAAAGUCUUUGCAAAACUGAGACCUGCUAAGUUUCUGCCACAAGUUAAUAAAGAGAGAGGUAGAAGAAGGUGUUGAUCUAAUGGUUAUGAAAGAGCUUACAGGAUGUCAUUUUAAUUAGUUUAUCUGUUCGUAAUUCUUAUCUUUCUCGUUCUGUAAUGGGACAGUAUCUUUAUAUAUGAUGUCUCAUGCAUGGUAACAUGUAUUUAUUUU